UCUUUACCACUGAGCCGCCAGGGAAGCCAUAGACCCAGCCAAGAUCUGGACUGCAGCCUCGUGAGAGAGCUGAGCGAAAAUGACUGUGCAAAGCUGCUUCUGCGUUCCUGACUCUCAGAAACUGUCAAAAUCUACGGUCCUGUUUUCAUGGUGUGCUGAGCUCAGAGGAUGAUGUGGAAUGAUAUACAUGAGGAGAUUCAUUGACAAGAAAGCUCCUGGAGUCCAAACUUAAGGCCAAGGGCUGGAAAUGAAGCAAAUGGCCCCAGACAGGAGCUCUCCCUGGAUGUAUACUGCAGAUGCUAUUAUCAAUCCUAUUAUUCUGAGGAAGAAAUCAAG
Odocoileus virginianus texanus is the source of this 336-nucleotide non-coding RNA. The record is from RefSeq and is a predicted model, not a curated record. NCBI's taxonomy places the organism in Eukaryota, Metazoa, Chordata, Mammalia, Artiodactyla, Cervidae.